Molecule: non-coding RNA, 648 nt
Organism: Drosophila bipectinata
Lineage: Eukaryota; Metazoa; Arthropoda; Insecta; Diptera; Drosophilidae
Source: RefSeq, a predicted model, not a curated record
CAAGUGUUAUUCCAUACAAAAAAAAAAAAGUCAAAAACUUAAAAAACGAAGACAGAGAUCAGAGUGCGAAGUAUAUUUUUUUGGCAAGUGCGUCGUCCAUUUUGUCUGCUCUGUGCUUGUGUGUGUGUGUGCGUGUGUCUGUACUUGUGUUGGCGUGUAUUUCCGGUCCAGUCAGUCAACACGUAUUUUUGGCCAAGACAACAACAACAACAGGGAGCAACGAGGAAUAAGGCUAACAGAAAGGACAACAAGCCGCAGCGAAUAUAACGGAAUAAAAGCGCGCGCAACAGACGCCACGCCCCCUCGACGCCGCCCACCCCCCCGCCAGAGGAGUGCUUCCGCUGCCAAACAAAGAGGACAUCAAAAAGGACAUCACUGACAAAGGAAGGACGCAUGUGACGAACGUCGAGAGAAGAGGCCCCUAAAAUAAAAAUUCGACCAAUUUGUGAAACCAAAAGUCUUGAAAUUCAACUGCUGCUGCAAACCGUAUGACUGAUUUUCUCGUUGAACCGACAGCUUGAUUACCUCCUUAGCGCUUUAUAUACCGUAUUAUAAACCUUUAUAUAUACCUUUAUACAAAUGGAAAACCAAUAACUCCGACUUUGGAGCUAGUUGAUUAUAAGCCACGCUAGAAUCUAACCCAGAAAG